GUGAUUCUUAAGGGCGCAAAUGACAUUGGAUGGAAAGGCUUUCUGCAGUCCAUUCUAAGUGUCACCGAAUCCAAAGCCACUUCUCGAAGUGGAGAGUUUGUUGAUGG
Molecule: long non-coding RNA, 107 nt
Organism: Juglans microcarpa x Juglans regia
Lineage: Eukaryota; Viridiplantae; Streptophyta; Magnoliopsida; Fagales; Juglandaceae
Exons: 3
Source: RefSeq, a predicted model, not a curated record